GACGAACGCUGGCGGCGUGCUUAACACAUGCAAGUCGAGCGGAAAGGCCUGCUUUCCCUUGUGGAUUGCGGGUACUCGAGUGGCGAACGGGUGAGUAACACGUGAGUGAUCUGCCCCCAACUUGGGUAUAAGCCUGGGAAACUGGGUCUAAUUCCCGAUAGGACUGCAGGGUGGUGCCUGUGGUGGAAAACGAUUUUCUAGUGGUUGGGGAUGAGCUCGCGGCCUAUCAGCUUGUUGGUGGGGUAAUGGCCUACCAAGGCGGCGACGGGUAGCCGGCCUGAGAGGGUGGGCGGCCACAUUGGGACUGAGAUACGGCCCAGACUCCUACGGGAGGCAGCAGUGGGGAAUAUUGCACAAUGGGCGGAAGCCUGAUGCAGCGACGCCGCGUGGGGGAUGACGGCCUUCGGGUUGUAAACUCCUUUCGACCGCGAGGAAGCCACCUGGUUGGAAGGGUGGUGACGGUAGUGGUAGAAGAAGCACCGGCUAACUACGUG
This 494-nucleotide ribosomal RNA is filed under the name uncultured bacterium. RNAcentral's name for it is "partial 16S ribosomal RNA". It matches the Rfam family "Bacterial small subunit ribosomal RNA", at positions 28 to 507 of the family's 1533-position model. The record is from RNAcentral.